ACCUACGGGGGGCAGCAGUGGGGAAUAUUGCACAAUGGGGGGAACCCUGAUGCAGCGACGCCGCGUGAGUGAAGAAGUAUUUCGGUAUGUAAAGCUCUGUCAGCAGGGAAGAAGAAAGACGGUACCUGACCAAGAAGCCCCGGCUAACUACGUGCCAGCAGCCGCGGUAAUACGUAGGGGGCAAGCGUUAUCCGGAUUUACUGGGUGUAAAGGGAGCGUAGACGGCGUGCCAAGUCUGAUGUGAAAGGCCGGGGCUCGACCCCGGGACUGCAUUGGAAACUGGCAUGCUGGAGUGCCGGAGGGGG
RNAcentral lists this ribosomal RNA (305 nucleotides) under uncultured bacterium. RNAcentral describes it as "bacterial SSU rRNA". It matches the Rfam family "Bacterial small subunit ribosomal RNA", at positions 337 to 658 of the family's 1533-position model. The record is from RNAcentral.